AUAAUACUCCAUAGAUUAAGACACUGGAAUGUUCUUUAGUCGAAAGUUCUGGCGCCUUAGGAUGGAUCUGCGGUCGAUUAGGUUGUUGUUGGGGUAACGGCCCAACAAGCCUGUAAUCGAUACGGGUUGUGGGAGCAAGAGCCCGGAGAUGGAAUCUGAGACACGAUUCCAGGCCCUACGGGGCGCAGCAGGCGCGAAAACUUUACAAUGCAGGAAACUGUGAUAAGGGAACUCCGAGUGCCCGUAUACGCGGGCUGUCCAGGUGUUUAAAAAUCAUCUGAAGAAAGGGCCGGGCAAGACCGGUGCCAGCCGCCGCGGUAAUACCGGCGGCUCGAGUGGUGGCCACUAUUAUUGGGCUUAAAGCGUCCGUAGCUGGACCGAUAAGUCUCUUGGGAAAUCCGCCGGCUCAACCGGCGGGCGUCUAAGGGAUACUGUUAGUCUAGGGACCGGGAGAGGUGAGAGGUACUCCGGGGGUAGGAGUGAAAUCCUGUAAUCCCCGGGGGACCACCGAUGGCGAAGGCAUCUCACCAGAACGGCUCCGACAGUGAGGGACGAAAGCUGGGGGAGCGAACCGGAUUAGAUACCCGGGUAGUCCCAGCCGUAAACUAUGCGCGUUAGGUGU
Molecule: ribosomal RNA, 622 nt
Filed under: uncultured archaeon
Lineage: Archaea
Description: bacterial SSU rRNA
Rfam family: Archaeal small subunit ribosomal RNA
Source: RNAcentral